GGGGCCAUAGCUCAGCUGGGAGAGCGCCUGCUUUGCAAGCAGGAGGUCGCCGGUUCGAUCCCGGCUGGCUCCACUA
RNAcentral lists this transfer RNA (76 nucleotides) under Solirubrobacteraceae bacterium. Its description in RNAcentral is "tRNA-Ala". It matches the Rfam family "tRNA". Rfam says of the family: Transfer RNA (tRNA) molecules are approximately 80 nucleotides in length. Lineage: Bacteria; Bacillati; Actinomycetota; Thermoleophilia; Solirubrobacterales; Solirubrobacteraceae. The record is from RNAcentral.